This 253-nucleotide ribosomal RNA is filed under the name uncultured bacterium. RNAcentral's name for it is "partial 16S ribosomal RNA". It matches the Rfam family "Bacterial small subunit ribosomal RNA", at positions 524 to 776 of the family's 1533-position model. The record is from RNAcentral.
UACGGAGGGUGCAAGCGUUAUCCGGAUUCACUGGGCUUAAAGGGUGCGUAGGUGGAUUAGUAAGUCAGUGGUGAAAUCUCUGGGCUUAACUCAGAAACUGCCAUUGAUACUAUUAGUCUUGAAUACCGUGGAGGUCAGCGGAAUAUGUCAUGUAGCGGUGAAAUGCUUAGAUAUGACAUAGAACACCAAUGGCGAAGGCAGCUGGCUAGACGAAUAUUGACACUGAGGCACGAAAGCGUGGGGAUCAAACAGG